This 26-nucleotide non-coding RNA is filed under the name Rattus norvegicus (Norway rat). The record is from RNAcentral. Lineage: Eukaryota; Metazoa; Chordata; Mammalia; Rodentia; Muridae.
UGAGGUUCAAAUGUCCAGAAAAGCGU